GGAUUGAUAUUGACAUUUAAAUAUGUAUUUCUUGGAAGAUUGAACAAAAUGAAUGAAAAUGUUAUGGCAUUGUCCUCAUUGAACUGAGAUCC
Small nucleolar RNA from Oryctolagus cuniculus (rabbit), 92 nucleotides. Its record names the gene SNORD116. It matches the Rfam family "Small nucleolar RNA SNORD116". Rfam says of the family: HBII-85 is a member of the C/D class of snoRNAs, which contain the C (UGAUGA) and D (CUGA) box motifs. HBII-85 is encoded in a tandemly repeated array with another C/D snoRNA, HBII-52, in the Prader-Willi syndrome (PWS) region of chromosome 15. The record is from Ensembl. NCBI's taxonomy places the organism in Eukaryota, Metazoa, Chordata, Mammalia, Lagomorpha, Leporidae.